GACGAACGCUGGCGGCGUGCUUAACACAUGCAAGUCGAACGGAGAGGCCCUGCUUUGGUGGGGUGCUCGAGUGGCGAACGGGUGAGUAACACGUGAGUAACCUGCCCUUGACUUUGGGAUAACUUCAGGAAACUGGGGCUAAUACCGGAUAGGAGCUCCUGCCGCAUGGGGGGGGUUGGAAAGGUUCGGCGGUUGGGGAUGGGCUCGCGGCUUAUCAGCUUGUUGGUGGGGUAGUGGCUUACCAAGGCGUUGACGGGUAGCCGGCCUGAGAGGGUGACCGGCCACAUUGGGACUGAGAUACGGCCCAGACUCCUACGGGAGGCAGCAGUGGGGAAUAUUGCACAAUGGGCGGAAGCCUGAUGCAGCAACGCCGCGUGCGGGAUGACGGCCUUCGGGUUGUAAACCGCUUUCGCCUGUGACGAAGCGUGAGUGACGGUAAUGGGUAAAGAAGCACCGGCUAACUACGUG
This 468-nucleotide ribosomal RNA is filed under the name uncultured bacterium. Its description in RNAcentral is "partial 16S ribosomal RNA". It matches the Rfam family "Bacterial small subunit ribosomal RNA", at positions 28 to 507 of the family's 1533-position model. The record is from RNAcentral.